AAAUUGAAGAGUUUGAUCAUGGCUCAGAUUGAACGCUGGCGGCAGGCCUAACACAUGCAAGUCGAACGGUAACAGGAAGCAGCUUGCUGUUUCGCUGACGAGUGGCGGACGGGUGAGUAAUGUCUGGGAAGCUGCCUGAUGGAGGGGGAUAACUACUGGAAACGGUAGCUAAUACCGCAUAA
RNAcentral lists this ribosomal RNA (182 nucleotides) under Escherichia coli. Its description in RNAcentral is "partial 16S ribosomal RNA". It matches the Rfam family "Bacterial small subunit ribosomal RNA", at positions 1 to 176 of the family's 1533-position model. Lineage: Bacteria; Pseudomonadati; Pseudomonadota; Gammaproteobacteria; Enterobacterales; Enterobacteriaceae. The record is from RNAcentral.